This 1104-nucleotide ribosomal RNA is filed under the name Triticum aestivum (bread wheat). Its description in RNAcentral is "partial small subunit ribosomal RNA". The record is from RNAcentral. Lineage: Eukaryota; Viridiplantae; Streptophyta; Magnoliopsida; Poales; Poaceae.
AUGAAGCUGACGGUGAAGACUCUCAAGGGCACCCACUUCGAGAUCCGGGUCCAGCACAAUGACACCAUUAUGGCUGUCAAGAAGAACAUUGAAGAGAUUCAAGGAAAGGAUAGUUAUCCGUGGGGUCAACAACUGCUGAUUCACAAUGGCAAGGUUUUGAAGGAUGAAAGCACAUUGGAUGAAAAUCAAGUUAGCGAAGAUGGAUUUCUAGUUGUCAUGCUUAGUAAGAGUAAAGCUUCUGCUUCCAGUGGAGCUUCAUCUGCCCAGCCUUCAAGCACUCCUGUUACCAGUCAAGCACCUCCAGUUGCUCAACCACAAGCUCCUCAGCCCCAGGUCCCAUCAACUACGACUUCUCAGCCUGAAAGACCAUCCGUGGAGACCCCUUCAAGUACAGUUGAUCUUGCAGCAUCGGAUUUACUGUCAGGAAGCAAUCUGGACACAAUGAUUAACCAGAUAAUGGAGAUGGGGGGUGGCAGUUGGGACAGAGAUAAGGUCCAAAGAGCUCUCCGUGCUGCUUAUAACAAUCCAGAACGUGCCAUUGACUAUCUGUACUCUGGUAUUCCAGUGACAGCCGAAGUUGCUGUUCCGGUGGUUGGUCAAGGGGCAAACACCACUGAUGCAGCUCCUGGAGAAACCGGCUUCUCUGGAAUCCCAAACACAGCACCAUUAGAUCUUUUCCCACAGGGGGCUUCCCAUGCUGGAGGUGCUGCUGGGGGUGGAUCGCUUGAUUUUCUUAGAAAUAACCAACAGUUUCAAGCGCUUCGGGAAAUGGUCCAUACAAAUCCACAAAUUUUACAGCCUAUGCUCCAGGAAUUGAGCAAGCAGAAUCCUCAACUUCUGAGGUUGAUUCAGGAGAACAAUGAUGAGUUCCUUCAGUUACUAAAUGAGACAUUUGAUGGCGGCGAUGGGGACUUUUUAGAUCAGGCUGACCAGGAUGAGAUGCCUCAUGCUAUCAGUGUAACACCAGAAGAGCAAGAGGCAAUUGGGAGGCUGGAAGCCAUGGGGUUUGAGAGAGCACGUGUCAUCGAAGCAUUCUUCGCCUGUGACAGGAAUGAGCAACUCGCUGCAAACUAUCUUCUUGAGCAUGCUGGUGACGAAGAAUAG